This 2254-nucleotide unclassified non-coding RNA is filed under the name Hevea brasiliensis (rubber tree). Lineage: Eukaryota; Viridiplantae; Streptophyta; Magnoliopsida; Malpighiales; Euphorbiaceae. The record is from RNAcentral.
CUCUACCAUCUGAUCUACAUCCCCUUUGUCGUUAAAUUUUAGGAAUUUUUAUAUUACUGAAACCAACAAGAAUGUCGAGUCCUCAACUAUGCUAUUGACAGUGCUGCGGUAUGCAAUAGCUAGCCAAGAAAUGACAUGCUGUAUAAGUUAAAUGUGAGUGUCAAUACUAAUGGGAUUGGAAGCGGAUGCAUUUCCAUUGGUGUGCACGAGGCUUUUAGGAAAGGAAGAUUGUAAAUCUGAGAUGGAAGAACAAGCCAGUGGAGUCAUGAUUUUGAAUAUGGUAUGGUUUCUUUUUCUUUUUUUAGUUUCUGCACACUUUACCAUGUUUUUCUUUUUUUUGUCUCCGCUUGGAUGACUAAACCUUUGCUGGGCAUAUCUCUGCUCUUUGAUAGCAGAAAAGGUUUAGGAAUGAUCCAUUAAGUAUUAACAAUAUGAAGUUCUUGGCAGAUCAAAAUUAUACUCAUAUCAAUUUACACUGAAUCUGAUUUUUUGGUCAUGGUGUCAUCUGUGUCACAAUCCAAAGUGUUCUUAGGAAUUCUUACUUCAAGAAAUGUAUCGUUGUUCACAUAUGCCUCAAUUUUGCUCCAAUCUGCAUCUUCUGGGAGCUCAAGUCUUCUAACAUACCCAUGUUCCCACCAGUGCCCACUUCUCCAAUCUUUAGCUUUUGACUCUUUUUGCUGCUUCCAUUGCCCACUAAUUUCCACAAUCUUCCCAUUUUCAGCAUAUACACGCACUGUGUUUAUCCCAGCUCCUGCUUUACAAAACCAUCAGGCUCAAGAAAUUUCAGAAUCACUGCAUAACUUGUUUAUGUUAUCUAAUCACUUUUCUUUUCAAGUCCACUUUGCAAAAAAGAUGUCGAGAAUUACUAAGAACGCUUACCUGGUAGUUCUGCUUUUAGUACAUAAGCUUCAUCUGCCUGAAACCAAUCAACGCUAGUCUUGCCAGAGCUCCGAAGAUUAGAUAACAAGAUAUCAGACUCAAAUUCCCACAGUGGAAAGGCAUCUGAAGGAUCAAAAUAUUUUCCAAACAACAAGGGACUGAACAACGAUCCUUCGCCAAAUAUCUUAUGCAGGAUUGGGGUUCCAUGAGAGAAAAACCUUUUGAAUAAUUCUUCAGUUAAUGAAACACUCCACUUAUGUGGAGUUUGAUCUUCUGUAUGAACUUCAAGCAGUCUGCAACUUGUCAUCGCAGAUUAGUACAUGAAAAUGUUCAGAAUUUUUUUCCUGGUGGUGGUUUGAGGCUUUAGGCUUUUAUAGUGUGAAAAGAGUCACUUUAAUAAAAGCAAAGAACAAAUGCUUUGAGACUACUUGAUGGGAUGUAAAGGAAGAGGGAAUUUUUUCUAUGGGGGCCUUGUCCAUUACUAAGAAGGAAUUGUAACAGGCAGAUUUGGAAGAAUGGAGAAAAUCUUUUCUCUUCCCCUCUCUCUCCCCUCCUCCACAACCCCCAUCUCAUCCCCCACCCACCCAUUCCCACCACCACCAACCACCCACCCCCCACCCCCCCCACACCAACCCCCCCUUUUCCCUUCCGUCUUCCUUUAAAUGAGACCCUUCCGUCUUCCUUUAAAUGAGAAUGUCCUGCAAUUUUCAAUGAACAUCAUCUGGCAUCUGCCCAUGCUGGGCCAUACAAUUUCACAAGCAGGACACUCCAUCAUAAUUCUUUCUCCAACUUAAUUGUCGAGAUCUUGACGUGAUAAUUAAACAGAAUUAAACAAAAAAAAAAAAGAACCAGUAAAAUUAUACCAAUUUGUGCACAGGAACCUGCAUCCAAGAGUCAUGAGUAGCGCAAGCAUUUUUAUGUCCUUCAGCUAAUUAAACAGAAAAUAUGCACUUGCAUGCUUAGUCUGGUUGUGAGUGCAGAUCUCCAACUUGCAAUUAAUUGCAAAUCAGUACUGUUUGCACUGAAUACCGAACACUCUCAAAUCUAACCUGUUCUGGUAUGUUAAUCCCAAAUGGAGAGAAAAGCUGGACUUAAGAUGUUGACAGACUUGUUUUCUCAAUUUUGAGAACUUUGCUGCCAUAAAGUUUGAUUUUCCAAGUCAAGAAACCAUAUGAUACACGGUUUUUGUUGUAGCAUGUUAUUUGCCUGGAAAAUAAUGUUUAAGCUGGAUCUUUUUUUUUUUGUGGAAAUCCCACAGAGAUUAGAGAUCAUUCUUUGGCGUUAAGGGUAUUAUCCCACAUACUUAACUUGAGUUUUCUUCCUGAUGUAAUUGUUGGCUUGUGAAUGGAAAUGAUUAUGCAAAGUUUGCUUGAAA